This 253-nucleotide unclassified non-coding RNA is filed under the name uncultured Oligoflexaceae bacterium. RNAcentral's name for it is "contains 16S-23S intergenic spacer region". It matches the Rfam family "Bacterial small subunit ribosomal RNA", at positions 524 to 776 of the family's 1533-position model. The record is from RNAcentral. Lineage: Bacteria; Pseudomonadati; Bdellovibrionota; Oligoflexia; Oligoflexales; Oligoflexaceae.
UACGGAAGGUGCGAGCGUUGUUCGGAAUGACUGGGCGUAAAGCGCACGUAGGCGGGUUCGCAAGUCAGCUGUGAAAGCCCUGGGCUUAACCUGGGAAUUGCAGUUGAAACUACGAAUCUUGAAUGCCCGAGAGGGUGGCGGAAUUCCGGGUGUAGAAGUGAAAUUCGUAGAUAUCCGGAGGAACACCAGAGGCGAAGGCGGCUACCUGGUGGUGCAUUGACGCUGAGGUGCGAAAGCGUGGGGAGCAAACAGG